AUUGAACGCUGGCGGCAGGCCUAACACAUGCAAGUCGAGCGAGCGGCGGACGGGUGAGUAAUGUCUGGGAAACUGCCUGAUGGAGGGGGAUAACUACUGGAAACGGUAGCUAAUACCGCAUACCAUCAGAUGUGCCCAGAUGGGAGUAGCUGGUAGGUGGGGUAACGGCUCACCUAGGCGCCGUUCCCUAGCUGGUCUGAGAGGAUGACCAGCCACACUGGAACUGAGACACGGUCCAGACUCCUACGGGAGGCAGCGGUGGGGAAUAUUGCACAACGGGCGCAAGCCUGAUGCAGCCAUGCCGCGUGUGUGAAGAAGGCCUUCGGGUUGUAACGCACUUUCAGCGGGGAGGCGUUACCCGCAGAAGAAGCACCGGCUGACUCCGUGCCAGCGGCCGCGGUAAUUC
This 406-nucleotide ribosomal RNA is filed under the name uncultured bacterium. Its description in RNAcentral is "partial 16S ribosomal RNA". It matches the Rfam family "Bacterial small subunit ribosomal RNA", at positions 29 to 526 of the family's 1533-position model. The record is from RNAcentral.